AAACUGCGAAUGGCUCAUUAUAUAAGUUAUCGUUUAUUUGAUAGUACCUUACUACUUGGAUAACCGUGGUAAUUCUAGAGCUAAUACAUGCUAAAAAUCCCGACUUCGGAAGGGAUGUAUUUAUUAGAUUAAAAACCAAUGCCCUUCGGGGCUCCUUGGUGAUUCAUGAUAACUUCGCGAAUCGCAUGGCCUUGCGCCGGCGAUGGUUCAUUCAAAUUUCUUCCCUAUCAACUUUCGAUGUUUGGGUAUUGGCCAAACAUGGUUGCAACGGGUAACGGAGGGUUAGGGCUCGACCCCGGAGAAGGAGCCUGAGAAACGGCUACUACAUCCAAGGAAGGCAGCAGGCGCGCAAAUUACCCAAUCCCGACACGGGGAGGUAGUGACAAUAAAUACUGAUACAGGGCUCUUUAGGGUCUUGUAAUUGG
RNAcentral lists this ribosomal RNA (425 nucleotides) under Acremonium alternatum. RNAcentral describes it as "SSU rRNA". It matches the Rfam family "Eukaryotic small subunit ribosomal RNA", at positions 84 to 512 of the family's 1831-position model. The record is from RNAcentral. Lineage: Eukaryota; Fungi; Ascomycota; Sordariomycetes; Hypocreales; Bionectriaceae.